This 440-nucleotide ribosomal RNA is filed under the name uncultured bacterium. RNAcentral's name for it is "partial 16S ribosomal RNA". It matches the Rfam family "Bacterial small subunit ribosomal RNA", at positions 338 to 795 of the family's 1533-position model. The record is from RNAcentral.
CCUACGGGAGGCAGCAGUGGGGAAUAUUGCACAAUGGGGGAAACCCUGAUGCAGCGACGCCGCGUGAGUGAAGAAGUAUUUCGGUAUGUAAAGCUCUAUCAGCAGGGAAGAAAAUGACGGUUCCUGAUAAAGAAUGCCCGGCUAACUACGUGCCAGCAGCCGGCGUAAUACGUAGGGGGCAAGCGGUAACCGGAGUUACUGGGUGUAAAGGGAGCGUAGACGGGAGCAAAAGUCUGGAGGGAAAUGCCAGGGGUUAACCCCGGAACUGCAUUGGAAACUGAGAAACUAGAGUGCGGGAGAGGUAAGUGGAAUUACUAGUGUAGCGGUGAAAUGCGUAGAUAUUAGGAAGAACACCAGUGGCGAAGGCGGCUUACUGGACUGGAACUGACGUUGAGGCUCGAAAGCGUGGGGAGCAAACAGGAUUAGAUACCCGGGUAGUC